RNAcentral lists this small RNA (6001 nucleotides) under Pan troglodytes (chimpanzee). RNAcentral describes it as "retained intron". Lineage: Eukaryota; Metazoa; Chordata; Mammalia; Primates; Hominidae. The record is from RNAcentral.
CGACCUCUGUCAAGGGCCUGUGGGUCCCUGACCCCUGGGUGAGCGAGGGCACUGCUGCCAUGGGCCUGGGCACUGUGCCAUCCUCCAGUGGGAAACAGGAGGUCCCCAGGGUCUGAGAGAACCAUGCAGUCCAGGUGUGAAAGGGGUCCUACGAGGUCAGCUGACCAUAGAGACCUUGGGACCACCAGGAAAUCGUGGGGGCCCUUGGCCAGGGGAUGGGGUCAGGGCUCCUUGAGCCUGUUCCGCCCAUCCAGCUCCCCUUUAACCCCAGGGAAGAAGUAGCUCAGGUGGAGACCCUGGGUCUGCAUGGGGGUCACGUGAGCUGCCUGUAGCCAGCAGGGGGGAGGGCUGGGUGCUGUCCUGAGGAUGCAGGUGCAAAUGGCCAUUUCUGGGCCACCUGUGUGUAUCAGCAUCUGCAGAGGGGCCUGGGGUCUGGCUCCUGGGGUUGGCAGCCCCAGGGGCUCUGCCAUGGCUGCCCAAGGUGGUGAUAUUUCCUCUCUGCCUGUUGGGUGUGGGGCAGUGCCACCCUGUCCCAUCCCACCUCAUCAGCACAGAAUGAAGCUGGUCCUAUACUCAUCACCUGUGCACAUGAGGAAACUGAGGCCCCAAGAGGGGAGCCCAAGGUCAUAUUACUGGGGACCUGUGGGCUGGCGUCUGAGCCCAGCACUGUGGCUUCAAGCCCACAUCUGCCCUAGGAGGGCCCAGGAGGCCCUGUGAUGUCAAUACCCUGUGAUGUCAUUCCCGUGCUGUCACCACAUGAUGUCAUCCCCUGUGGUAUCACCUCUGUGAUGUCAAUACCUCUUUUAAUGUCAUCCCCAUGGUGUCAUUCCCCCCAUGAUGUCAGUCCCCCAUGAUGUCAGUUUCCCACGAUGUCAUCCCCUGUAAUGUCAUCCCCCGUGAUGUCAUUCCCCCAUGAUGUCAGUGUGAUGUCAUCUCUGUGAUGUCAUUCCGUGAUGUCACCCCCCAUGAUGCCAUUCCCCUGCAAUGUCAUGCCCCUGUGAUGUCAUCCCCCCGUGUGAUGCCAGUCUCCCAUGAUGUCCCCCCUGUGAUGUCAUUCAUGUGACAUCAUCCUGUGAUGUCUCCCCCAUGAUGUCAUUCCCCAUGUGAUGUCAAUUUCCCACGAUGUCACCCCUCUGACAUCAUCCUCUGUGAUGUCUCGCCCAUGAUGUCAUCCCCCAUGGCGUCAUUGUUCGUCGUGGGGGUUUGUGGGAUCCCCUCCUCUCCCCUCCCUUGGGGUCUUCCUGGCUGGUGGGGAGAGGUGGCCUGGCCUGGGUGCCGCAGCAGCUGCUCUGGAAGGUGCCCGGGCUCUUGGGGGCCUUGGCCCACGCCAUCCCCUGGACUGUGCGGCGCCCUCCAGGGCCCAGCUUCUGUUGGGUGUUGGGCACAAGUCAGAAUCAAGUGCAUCUGGCCAGAUGCUGCCAGGGCCAAGGAUGCAGCUGCCUGUGGCCUGGCCUUGGUGUAGAGCCAGAGUCUUGCGCAGGGGCUGAGGGGACCCAGAUGGUGGGGAGGCUCCGGAGCAUGUGACCGGGGACCGUCCUGCUGUGGACAGACCUCCUGGGCUGAGUGUUGGUCGGGCCCGGGCCAUGCACCUAGAGGAUGUCUCUUGACCAGUGGGGAGGGUCUGGGGGUGAGUGUGGCUGUGUCCCUUGGCUACUGGGCCAGUGUGGUCCAGGGCACUCUAGGGACUCCCUGUGUUCUGACUUGAAUGGAGCUAUUGGGGCUGAAGGGGCAGUGGCCCUGUGUCUCCUCAGAGCUUGCAGGUCCUCUUGGAGGCCCAGAGAGAGCCAGAGGAGGGCAGGGUCACUGCUGCCUCCUCAUGGUAUGGAAUUGACUGAGCCCAUGCUGGGAUCUGGAGGCCCCAAAGGAAUGAGGCCUGUGGCCAGGGGCCGGCCCAGGAGCUGGGGUGGCUUUUGGGGGAGAGGCCCGCAGUGCUGGGAGGUAAGUGGUGAUGUGCUUGGCAGCCUCAGUGCUCCCUUAGGAGGGUCUAGGACCCCACCUCGAAUCUUCCUGGGCUAUGCAGAGCCAGGAAGAGAGGCCAGGUGGCCUUGGUGGGUGGGAUUAGAUGCUCCAGCCCUGCCUGGAACUCCCUUGGGGGUCGGGCCACAGCCAAGAAGAGUGCUGUCUUGCCUGUGCUAAGGCCACUGUACAUGCAGAGCUGGACCCAGAACCUCGUCCAAGGCCCCCGGCAGUCUCACCAGGAGGUGUUUAGAGCUGGCCACGUGGAGUGGCAUACCUCCGGGGGGCGGGGGGGCUGUGAGAGGACAGUGGUGUGGGCCCUUGGUCUGUGCCUCCCACGGGACAGCUGCUUCAAUAGCAUCUGUGCCCCCUCCUGCCCGUAGUCCACCCACCACUGACCCCUGGACUUGGCUGGCGGAUUUUCACACCUUCUUCUGGGGGCAGGUCUCAGCUUGUCCCCAACCCAGUCAGAGCCAGUCUCACUCCCUGCCUCAGGCAACUGUGUAUGUUUUAAUUUUUAUUUAUUUAUGUACUCAUGAGAUAGAGUCUCACUCUGUCUCCCAGGCUGGAGUGCAGUGGCACCAUUUCGGCUCACUGCAACCUCCACCUCCCGGGUUCAAGCCAUUCUCCUGCCUCAGCCUCCUGAGAAGCUGAGAUUACAGGCGCUCGCCACCAUGCAUGGCUAAUUUUUGUAUUUUUAGUAGAGAUGGGGUUUCACCAUGUUGGCCAGGCUGGUCUUGAACUCCUAACCUCAGGUGACCUGCCUGCCUCGGCCUUCCAAAGUGCUGGGAUUACAGGCAUGAGCCACCGCCUGUAAUUUUAAUUUUUAACCAAACUGAGAAUUUGAGGAUUGAAUGCAUGUAACGGGUGGUGUUCAUGUGGAUGUGGAUUCCAUGAAAGAGGGCUUUGUCCUCACUGUCGGUUCUCCACACGUAGGUCCUUUGACUCAGCAGACCUUAGGCCUAGUCUGACAGCUCCUUAGCUUGGGGUGCACAGGCAGCUGAAGCAGUAGGAUGGCAGCUCAGACUUCCCAGGGCCCCACGUGUGCAGGGCUGGCCUCCCAGCACCACCAGGCAGGGCCGGCCUCCGAGCACCACCAGGCAGGGCCCUGUGAGUGUCCCCUCCCUGACACACACCUUGUAGAGAGGCUGGGCCUGGGCAGGCCGCUCUGCUGCACCACAUCCCAUUCUCAAGAGGGUCCCAGGUCCCAAAGGAAGCCUGUAGCCCAGUGGCUUUCUGGAGGUUUGCAUGGCUGGCAAGCCUGGGCCGGCUGCUGGAGAGGCAUCAGGACAGGAGCAACUCUGCUGACUGCUCCCCUCAGCGAGCUCUAAGAGUCUUUGGGUGGGAGGCACAUCACAUCCCUGUCACUCCUGGCUGGCCCUGGAAUGCCUCAGCCCACACACCCCACUCCAGCCAGGGCUGUGGGAACUGUGUCUGCUCAGGUACAAAAGGCUUUGUUUGUUCUUGGACCUCUUGGUUCUGGUCUGGGCUUCCCGCCUCCCAUGCUGUGAGCCCCCAUGGGCUGGGACCGCAGCUUGCCAUGUGUCUCUCAGUGGCACCAAGUGGACGCUCGAGGCUUAUGUUGAGGGAGUGAGAGCCAGGAUGGGCCACUGGGCGUGCUGGGAGCCCACACAGGCAGGGAGCCCAGCGGGAGGUGCCCUGCUCCUGCCAGCCCCGGUUACCCCAGCAGGCUCGGCACCCACUCAGAGCCCCCACUUCCGCUCCCCAGGCACUCCCCGUGUGCCUACCUGCCCUUGUCCUGGGCCAGCUUGGCUCCUGCCUCCCAGCUCUGAGGAGGCCUCUGCAGGUAGCCGACCUCCCUGGACGAGGGGGCAGCUGCCUCCUCUCACCUGGGCUCACCCUGAGCCAAGUCCUCUCAACCCAGGAUAAAUGGCCUUUCUGAAGGCCCAGAGAGCAUGCCUGCCCCAGUGUAGGAGCUGCAUCCGCUCCCCACCUGACAGUGAUGGCCAAGAGCCCAGUGUUCCUGGAGGGCUCCCAAACUCUGGACCUGUAGGGGGGUCAGGGCAGUCGCUGGUCCCUAAGAGAAAAGCCUGACCCUCGGCCCCAGGUGGCUGAACCCGUCACUGCCAGGGCGAGCUGUCACCUCUGUGAGCUGAUGAGGCCUUGCUUUUAGGACCUCUAAUCUCUGCAAGAACCCAAGCUGGCUCUGCCUGUUUCUCCUGAGCAGCUCGCAGUAUUCACCACACUCCAGCACGACUCGGGACAGGCACGUGCGCCCCUCUGCACCAGCUGGAGUCCCUCAGGACACCUGGCUGGAGCUGACGGGCAUGGGCGGGUGUGUGCGAGCAUGAGCCCGCAGGUCUGUGAGCUUCGUCUCCCUUUCCUUCUUCACAGUGUACUAAUGGUCACUUGAUGUGCGCUGGCUGUUUUAUCCACCUACUAGCAGAUGCCCGGCUGAAGGAGGAGCAGGCCACGUGCCCCAAUUGUCGUUGUGAGAUCAGUAAGAGCCUCUGCUGCCGGAACCUGGCCGUGGAGAAAGCCGUGAGCGAGCUGCCUUCAGAGUGUGGCUUCUGCCUGCGCCAGUUUCCCCGCUCCCUCCUGGAGAGGCACCAGAAAGAGGAAUGCCAGGACAGGGUAACCCAGUGCAAGUACAAACGCAUCGGCUGCCCAUGGCACGGCCCCUUCCAUGAGCUGACGGUGCACGAGGCUGCGUGCGCCCACCCGACCAAGACAGGCAGUGAGCUGAUGGAGAUCCUGGAUGGGAUGGACCAGAGCCACCGCAAGGAGAUGCAGCUGUACAACAGCAUCUUCAGCCUGCUCAGCUUUGAGAAGAUUGGCUACACAGGUGAGGCGCCCCGCCGCCUGCUGCAUGCCACACAGGUGUGGGUUGGGGGGCUGGCAGCCAGGAGUCUGGGGGCAGCAGGCUCUGGGCACUGGGCACUGACGGCGCCGGACAGCCGGGCUCUGGACAAGCUCCCGGUGGACAGGUGGACACCUCGGUCGAGAAGACAGGCCGGAGACUGAGUGGAAGGAGGGGCCGAGGCAGACCCCAGGUGCACACCUGUGUGGCUCUCACAGCAGCCCCGCCCACCUGUCCUCCCCACCCUGGCUUCACCACCCCCGCAAGGUGGCAUCUCACUGUGGGGCUCCAGAGCCUCAAGACAGUCAGGGUCUAACCAGAAAGUGGGCAGGUCUCAGGGGGCCUGGGAGCUAGGGGCCUGCCCCUCGGACCCUGGGGCAAGAAGAGCACCCUGCCGAGUGAGGUCCUACCUGCAGGCAGUCACUGCCCCGGCCAUGGGCCUCUCAAGGCUGGCACGAAGCCAUUCAGGGAGAGGGCUCCAGAACAAGCUGAGGGUGCCCGACUCAAACUGUAGAACCGGGAGUGGACACCCACAGACGCCCAGGCUGGAUGCGUGCGCAGGCACACUGGAUCUCGUGGCUCUCUGGGCCGCUGCCACCGCCUUUGAACGUGUCGGGGAGCAGGAGCCAGGCCAGAGCCUGGCCCAGAGGACAGCGAGAAGCACCUGUUGAUGCUGGGGCCACUGGAGGAAGCUCCAUCCCUCUACUCUCAGCCCACACCAGGCGGCCAGCUCAGAGCACCAGGCGUGGCGCAAGCAGGGUGGUCGUGGGCAGCCAGUCCCGCCCUGCUGCCUGGACUGUGCCCAGCGGGAUGUGGGCCCGAGCAGGCCAGAGAGGCCGAGGGCCUGGGGUCUCUGCGGCAGCCACAGCCCGUGGUGAGUAGCAGCCUUAGCUGUCCUGGAGAUACCGGGGCCUCGUGGAGUCUAGGCAGGCUGGGGCACUGUGGCUGCGGCCGUGGCCAGGUGAGAAGCCCCAUUCGCGCAGGAAAGACUGGCCACCUGGGAACCCACGCCUCCACGGAGGGACUUGCCGGCCACAGGCUGUGGGCUACCCAAGAGGACUGUGCAGGCAGGGCUGCCUGCUGAUUGGCAGCUCCGGAUCAGGCCCGGUGCCUGCAGACCUGGUGCUCCCCUCGGGCAGGGCUGGGUGCCGCAGCCGCCUGCUGGCUUUUCUGGCAGCUCCUCUGUAUCAGAACCAAUAAAGUGCACUUGUUCUCGGAACCGCA